This is a small nucleolar RNA of Quercus lobata, 81 nucleotides long. The record is from RefSeq and is a predicted model, not a curated record. NCBI's taxonomy places the organism in Eukaryota, Viridiplantae, Streptophyta, Magnoliopsida, Fagales, Fagaceae.
GUGAAUGAUGAUAAAUGCACUAAGGUUUGAGCAGUUUUUAUUUAUUGAUGGAAAUGCAGACUAGAAAGUUGUUUCUGAUAC